Molecule: non-coding RNA, 1178 nt
Organism: Zonotrichia albicollis (white-throated sparrow)
Lineage: Eukaryota; Metazoa; Chordata; Aves; Passeriformes; Passerellidae
Source: RefSeq, a predicted model, not a curated record
AGCGCAGGGGCUGGGGCGGGGCUGAGGCGCUGAGCUAUGCGUGCCCUCAGGACUCGUCUGAGGGCCGUCGGCCGGGGAGAUUUCACUCGCUCUGCUGCCGGUCGGGAUAAGUGACAGCAAACGCUCCGGCUCUGCGGAGUUUGUGGGAAUUCAAGGCAUUCCUGCCUUUGUUUCCAGCCCGGGCAGUCCCAGCCCUGCGCUCCUCCUCAGGGGUUUAUAGCCAUAGUUCCGUAUGGGGCCUCUUCUCGGGUGGCUGAAAACCAGCUUCUCAUUUCCAUCUAAAUCAAUAGCUGUUUGUGGUUUUUUGUUUACUUCCCUUUUCCUUGUAGUUACGUAUCCAAUUCCCUCACAUUUGUUGUGUUAGGUUAUAUAAGCCAAACCUUUUGAGCCCUGCACGGUCAUACAAGCGGUUCCCUGGUCAUUGGGAUGUAUGUUCUGCGGCACUUUCUCAAUUUAAAUGCUUUUUAAAUGCUUUUUCUCCUGAGAGGGGCUGCUGCAUGGAGUGCCCGACGGCGGUGCCUCAAACACAACACUAAUGUUUUCCUGAAGCUGGUGGAAAUUCCAUGACUGGGCUCGCACUGGUCGCUCUCAGUCACACCAUGCCGUCAGUUUCCUGUCACCCUGCUGUUGACAUCCUGUCCUUACCCCAUGGAUUACCAUGUUCAUCCUUACUGAAAAUCAGCUCCUAGGAUGUGCUUGAGUUCCUUUGGAGGUGCUUAUCUUGCUGUGGCAUGCCUGGUCACACACCAUCCCAGUGACAAUUCCCUUCUCCUGGGGUGAUCUGACAGCAAAGGAGAUGCAGAUUAGCCAUGGACUGAACCAAGCUGGCAGAAAAUCAGCCACUGGAUUGAAAAGUGCAGCUUCUCCAUCUGAUACUUCUUCCAGCACAGGGUCUCCUGGACACAGUCGGGUUUAUGGCUGUUGACACUGACACAUUGAACCCUUCUGAGGACAAAGAUAUCUUGGAGCAAAAGGACGGGGUAAAGCCGUCAUGCCUGAUGCCAGUUCUGGCUGCCUGGUGCCAGCUGUGUCUGGAGGAGAGCACUGAGCCAAGUCCAGAGUGAUAAGAGGCUGCAGAAGGUGCUUUUCUCUGUCCCAGUGCACACAUGCCCCGGGAGUGGGGGCUGUGUUUGUGAGUUUCUGUGACAGCUCCAGCUGCCCCCAGGCAGGGUCUGUGU